Unclassified non-coding RNA from Cavia porcellus (domestic guinea pig), 115 nucleotides. It matches the Rfam family "Y RNA". From Rfam's summary of the family: Y RNAs are components of the Ro ribonucleoprotein particle (Ro RNP), in association with Ro60 and La proteins. The Y RNAs and Ro60 and La proteins are well conserved, but the function of the Ro RNP is not known. Lineage: Eukaryota; Metazoa; Chordata; Mammalia; Rodentia; Caviidae. The record is from Ensembl.
GGCUGGUCCGAAGGUAGUGAGUUAUCUCAACUGAUUGUUCACAGUCAGUACAGAUUGAACAACUCCUUGUUCUACUCUUUCCCUGUUUCUCACUACUGCACUUGACUAGUCUUAA